AAUUAAAAUAUCGUUAGUAUUUUAUGUACGUAUAACAUAAUUUUGAGUGAUAAAAUAUAACAUAUUAUAUUUCAGAUUAAAUAUACAUUAAUAUUUUUAAUAAAUAUUUUUAAAAUAUUAGAUUAUGCUACCUAUAAGUACAUAUUUUAUUUUAUAAAUCAAUAUAAAUAUAUAUAUAAUAGUAUAGAUAUAUAUAAUAGUAUACCUUUGGUUGGCCAAAAAAACUUAUUUGUCAUGUUGCAUUGGGCUACUCAUUAGUUACUCUGGGCGACCU
Molecule: long non-coding RNA, 274 nt
Filed under: Brassica napus (rape)
Lineage: Eukaryota; Viridiplantae; Streptophyta; Magnoliopsida; Brassicales; Brassicaceae
Description: long non-coding RNA (BNAP_LNC010508)
Source: RNAcentral